This is an RNA transcript of Venturia canescens, 2579 nucleotides long. RefSeq lists it as uncharacterized. The transcript is spliced from 11 exons. The record is from RefSeq and is a predicted model, not a curated record. NCBI's taxonomy places the organism in Eukaryota, Metazoa, Arthropoda, Insecta, Hymenoptera, Ichneumonidae.
UCUGGAUAAAGUGACUGAUUUAUAUUGCAAUAUGUCAAACGCAUCCCUCCGGGCCAUCAUGCGGACUUUCGUUAUGAACCGGAGAUUUUAUAUCGCUGAAUAUAUUAACCAACAAUCCAGUUCGCAGAGUGCUCAGGACGCAAAUGGCGGCAAAGCGACGGCUCCUGCAGCCGAAAUGGAAAGAAGUUUGGCGCCUGGUUUGACCGAGACAAACGAGAGCAGUCCGGAUUCUGAAGAAUCAGUAAUUUCGCUGUCUAGAUCGGAGGAGACAAACGAGAGCAGUCCGGAUUCUGAAGAAUCAGUGAUUCCGCCGCCAUCUUCCUCUAUAACCGGAAUUGAAAAUUGUACGAGGAAUCAAAGGUUUCGUGAAAUCAAUCACGGAAAACAGUAACUAAAAUACUUACCAAGGAAACAGUUUACCAAGGAAACACAAAUACGAAAUCGAGACAAUGAUCAAAAACGACAAGCUGAAUGUGAUAUGUUCGAGGUUUCCCGAAUAUUUCCGGAGCCCAAACUCAACGAUUCCUGUGGAGAAUCUGGAUAAAGUGACUGAUUUAUAUUGCAAUAUGUCAAACGCAUCCCUCCGGGCCAUCAUGCGGACUUUCGUUAUGAACCGGAGAUUUUAUAUCGCUGAAUAUAUUAACCAACAAUCCAGUUCGCAGAGUGCUCAGGACGCAAAUGGCGGCAAAGCGACGGCUCCUGCAGCCGAAAUGGAAAGAAGUUUGGCGCCUGGUUUGACCGAGACAAACGAGAGCAGUCCGGAUUCUGAAGAAUCAGUAAUUUCGCUGUCUAGAUCGGAGGAGACAAACGAGAGCAGUCCGGAUUCUGAAGAAUCAGUGAUUCCGCCGCCAUCUUCCUCUAUAACCGGAAUUGAAAAUUGUACGAGGAAUCAAAGGUUUCGUGAAAUCAAUCACGGAAAACAGUAACUAAAAUACUUACCAAGGAAACAGUUUACCAAGGAAACACAAAUACGAAAUCGAGACAAUGAUCAAAAACGACAAGCUGAAUGUGAUAUGUUCGAGGUUUCCCGAAUAUUUCCGGAGCCCAAACUCAACGAUUCCUGUGGAGAAUCUGGAUAAAGUGACUGAUUUAUAUUGCAAUAUGUCAAACGCAUCCCUCCGGGCCAUCAUGCGGACUUUCGUUAUGAACCGGAGAUUUUAUAUCGCUGAAUAUAUUAACCAACAAUCCAGUUCGCAGAGUGCUCAGGACGCAAAUGGCGGCAAAGCGACGGCUCCUGCAGCCGAAAUGGAAAGAAGUUUGGCGCCUGGUUUGACCGAGACAAACGAGAGCAGUCCGGAUUCUGAAGAAUCAGUAAUUUCGCUGUCUAGAUCGGAGGAGACAAACGAGAGCAGUCCGGAUUCUGAAGAAUCAGUGAUUCCGCCGCCAUCUUCCUCUAUAACCGGAAUUGAAAAUUGUACGAGGAAUCAAAGGUUUCGUGAAAUCAAUCACGGAAAACAGUAACUAAAAUACUUACCAAGGAAACAGUUUACCAAGGAAACACAAAUACGAAAUCGAGACAAUGAUCAAAAACGACAAGCUGAAUGUGAUAUGUUCGAGGUUUCCCGAAUAUUUCCGGAGCCCAAACUCAACGAUUCCUGUGGAGAAUCUGGAUAAAGUGACUGAUUUAUAUUGCAAUAUGUCAAACGCAUCCCUCCGGGCCAUCAUGCGGACUUUCGUUAUGAACCGGAGAUUUUAUAUCGCUGAAUAUAUUAACCAACAAUCCAGUUCGCAGAGUGCUCAGGACGCAAAUGGCGGCAAAGCGACGGCUCCUGCAGCCGAAAUGGAAAGAAGUUUGGCGCCUGGUUUGACCGAGACAAACGAGAGCAGUCCGGAUUCUGAAGAAUCAGUGAUUCCGCCGCCAUCUUCCUCUAUAACCGGAAUUGAAAAUUGUACGAGGAAUCAAAGGUUUCGUGAAAUCAAUCACGGAAAACAGUAACUAAAAUACUUACCAAGGAAACAGUUUACCAAGGAAACACAAAUACGAAAUCGAGACAAUGAUCAAAAACGACAAGCUGAAUGUGAUAUGUUCGAGGUUUCCCGAAUAUUUCCGGAGCCCAAACUCAACGAUUCCUGUGGAGAAUCUGGAUAAAGUGACUGAUUUAUAUUGCAAUAUGUCAAACGCAUCCCUCCGGGCCAUCAUGCGGACUUUCGUUAUGAACCGGAGAUUUUAUAUCGCUGAAUAUAUUAACCAACAAUCCAGUUCGCAGAGUGCUCAGGACGCAAAUGGCGGCAAAGCGACGGCUCCUGCAGCCGAAAUGGAAAGAAGUUUGGCGCCUGGUUUGACCGAGACAAACGAGAGCAGUCCGGAUUCUGAAGAAUCAGUAAUUUCGCUGUCUAGAUCGGAGGAGACAAACGAGAGCAGUCCGGAUUCUGAAGAAUCAGUGAUUCCGCCGCCAUCUUCCUCUAUAACCGGAAUUGAAAAUUGUACGAGGAAUCAAAGGUUUCGUGAAAUCAAUCACGGAAAACAGUAACUAAAAUACUUACCAAGGAAACAGUUUACCAAGGAAACACAAAUACGAAAUCGAGACAAUGAUCAAAAACGACAAGCUGAAUGUGAUAUGUUCGAGGUUUCCCGAAUA